AUUGAAUGCUAAGAGAAUGGAAGUCCAGAAAAAAACUUUUUUUAAAUUAAAAAUUGAAGUUUUUUUAAUUUGUGCAGAAACAAUUAUUUAUAUUAAAGACAAGAAGACCCUAUGAAUUUAUUAAAUUUUUAUUUAAUAUGUAAUUACUAUUAGAAAAAUUUUGGCUGGGGCGGCUAGAAAAUAUUAUGAACUUUUUAAAAAUAAAAUGAUCCAUUAUUAAUGAUUUUAUGUUAAAUACUCUAGGGAUAACAGCGUUAUAUUUUUUGAUAGAUCAUAUUGACAAAAAAGUUUGCGACCUCGAUGUUGGAUUAGGAUACUUUUUUAAUGAAGAUAUUAAAAAAAGAAGUUUGUUCAACUUUUAAUUUCCUACUUGAUCUGAKUCAGACCGGA
Molecule: ribosomal RNA, 390 nt
Filed under: Rhipicephalus sanguineus (brown dog tick)
Lineage: Eukaryota; Metazoa; Arthropoda; Arachnida; Ixodida; Ixodidae
Description: partial 16S ribosomal RNA
Source: RNAcentral